GACCUCAGAUCAGGUAGGAAUACCCGCUGAACUUAA
This 36-nucleotide ribosomal RNA is filed under the name Acremonium egyptiacum. RNAcentral's name for it is "partial 28S ribosomal RNA". Lineage: Eukaryota; Fungi; Ascomycota; Sordariomycetes; Hypocreales; Bionectriaceae. The record is from RNAcentral.